GCCGAAGUGGCGGAAGCUGGUAGACGCGCCAUCUUGAGGGGGUGGUGAGCGUAAGCUCUUAAGGGUUCAAAUCCCUUCUUCGGCACCA
RNAcentral lists this transfer RNA (88 nucleotides) under Chloroflexota bacterium. RNAcentral describes it as "Chloroflexi bacterium (hot springs metagenome) tRNA-Leu". It matches the Rfam family "tRNA". Rfam says of the family: Transfer RNA (tRNA) molecules are approximately 80 nucleotides in length. Their secondary structure includes four short double-helical elements and three loops (D, anti-codon, and T loops). Lineage: Bacteria; Bacillati; Chloroflexota. The record is from RNAcentral.